CGUUAGCUCAGCUGGCAGAGCAGGGGACUUUUAAUCCCAAGGUCAUGGGUUCGAACCCCAUACGGC
Molecule: transfer RNA, 66 nt
Filed under: bovine gut metagenome
Rfam family: tRNA
About the family: Transfer RNA (tRNA) molecules are approximately 80 nucleotides in length. Their secondary structure includes four short double-helical elements and three loops (D, anti-codon, and T loops).
Source: RNAcentral